Molecule: long non-coding RNA, 1258 nt
Filed under: Monodelphis domestica (gray short-tailed opossum)
Lineage: Eukaryota; Metazoa; Chordata; Mammalia; Didelphimorphia; Didelphidae
Description: lncRNA (ENSMODG00000044329.1)
Source: RNAcentral
CUCUUACAUAUAAUUGCCAGAUAUAAUUUUCACAUUCUUGUAAUAAAUUUAUCAUCAUGGUUUUUUUUCAAAUACCUGGUAUGGUACUAUAGCUACCAUGAUCUUCAAACAUCUAGCAUAAUAGGCAUGGUGAAGAGAAUAGGAAAGGUUUCAGAAACUCUUCCUAAGAAUACAUCUUUCGGGGGCAGAACCAGGAGAACAUUGUACACAGAGACUGACACAUUGUAGUGCAAUGGAAUGUAAUGGACUUCUCUGCUAGCAGCAAUGCAAUGAUCCAGGACAAUUCUGAGGGACUUAUGAGAAAGAAUGCUAUCCACAUCCAGAGGAAGAACUGUGAGAGUAGAAAAACAGGAGAAAAACAACUGCUUGAUCAAAUGGGUUGAUGGGGAUAUGAUUGGGAAUGUAGACUCUAAAUGAUCACCCUAGUGCAAUUAUCAAUAAUAUGGAAAUAGGUCUUGAUCAAGGACACAUGUAAAACCCAGUGGAAUUGUGUAAUGGCUAUAGAAGGAGGACAGGAGGGAAAGAACCUGAAUCAUGUAACCAUGGGAAAACUAUUCUAAAUUAAUUAAUUAAAGUUUUUCAAUUAAAAAAAGAAUACAUCUUUCACAUUCUUUUUGUAGUGACAGAGAACUAGAAACUAAGAAUGUGCCCAUUUAUUAGAGAAUUACUGAAUAAAUUAUGGUAUAUAAAUAUAGUGGAUUAUUAUUGAACCAAAAGAAUUAUAUAAAGGAUGCUUUUAGAGAAACUUGGUAAAGUGUGGGUGAAUUCACGAAGUGAAGUAAGCAGAACAGGGAGAAUAAUUUAUUUGAUAAUAAUAAUGAAUUCAUUAUUCAUGGAAUUCAUGGAAUAAUGAAUGAUUCCAGUAUGCCAAUAUGAAGUGAGGGGGAAGGGAACUUGGAGUGUCAGUUGGUCUUGUGACUCUCUCUCUUCUGGCUCUUGUGCUCUCUCCCUAUCUCAGGAUAGAAGUACCUCUAUUCCUGGAUUUCCCAAAUUGUGUGCUCUACCAGCAUUCCUGUGAUCUUGUCAUCGAACAAAAGGAUUUAAGGGGAGCAAUUCGAACUAGACAAAGAUUUGAAGGAGGAAGAAAGAAAGGAUUCCUGAUUCAUAUGACAGUCCCUCUGUACAUUAUCAUUGAUACUGCACGAAGUAUUGAAGAUUCUGAGACCAAAAGAAAAAACAGUCACCUUCCCGCAGGGAAAUUUCAUUCUACUGGAGGAAACAGUAUGACCAUAUAGAAAUAAAUAGUAAGUACAUACCA